UGAGGAAUAUUGGUCAAUGGGCGCAAGCCUGAACCAGCCAUGUCGCGUGCAGGACGACGGCCCUAUGGGUUGUAAACUGCUUUUGUACGGGAAGAAAAAAGGCCACGUGUGGUCUCUUGCCGGUACCGUACGAAUAAGGAUCGGCUAACUCCGUGCCAGCAGCCGCGGUAAUACGGAGGAUCCGAGCGUUAUCCGGAUUUAUUGGGUUUAAAGGGUGCGUAGGCGGGCUGUUAAGUCAGCGGUGAAAGUUUGACGCUCAACGUUAAAAUUGCCGUUGAUACUGGUGGCCUUGAGUGCGGUUGAGGUAGGCGGAAUGUGGUGUGUAGCGGUGAAAUGCUUAGAUAUGCCACAGAACACCGAUUGCGAAGGCAGCUUACUAAAGCGCAACUGACGCUGAUGC
RNAcentral lists this ribosomal RNA (400 nucleotides) under uncultured bacterium. RNAcentral describes it as "bacterial SSU rRNA". It matches the Rfam family "Bacterial small subunit ribosomal RNA", at positions 355 to 752 of the family's 1533-position model. The record is from RNAcentral.